RNAcentral lists this ribosomal RNA (497 nucleotides) under uncultured bacterium. RNAcentral's name for it is "partial 16S ribosomal RNA". It matches the Rfam family "Bacterial small subunit ribosomal RNA", at positions 28 to 507 of the family's 1533-position model. The record is from RNAcentral.
GAUGAACGCUGGCGGCGUGCCUAAUACAUGCCAGUCGAGCGAACAGACGAGGAGCUUGCUCCUCUGACGUUAGCGGCGGACGGGUGAGUAACACGUGGAUAACCUACCUAUAAGACUGGGAUAACUUCGGGAAACCGGAGCUAAUACCGGAUAACAUGUUGAACCGCAUGGUUCAACAGUGAAAGACGGUCUUGCUGUCACUUAUAGAUGGAUCCGCGUCGCAUUAGCUAGUUGGUAAGGUAACGGCUUACCAAGGCAACGAUGCGUAGCCGACCUGAGAGGGUGAUCGGCCACACUGGAACUGAGACACGGUCCAGACUCCUACGGGAGGCAGCAGUAGGGAAUCUUCCGCAAUGGGCGAAAGCCUGACGGAGCAACGCCGCGUGAGUGAAGAAGGUCUUCGGAUCGUAAAACUCUGUUAUUAGGGAAGAACAAAUGUGUAAGUAACUAUGCACGUCUUGACGGUACCUAAUCAGAAAGCCACGGCUAACUACGUG